ACGGAAGGCAGCAGUGGGGAAUAUUGGACAAUGGGGGAAACCCUGAUCCAGCGACGCCGCGUGAGUGAAGAAGUAUUUCGGUAUGUAAAGCUCUAUCAGCAGGGAAGAUAAUGACGGUACCUGACUAAGAAGCCCCGGCUAACUACGUGCCAGCAGCCGCGGUAAUACGUAGGGGGCAAGCGUUAUCCGGAUUUACUGGGUGUAAAGGGAGCGUAGAUGGUCAGGCAAGUCAGAAGUGAAAGCCAGGGGCUCAACCCCUGGAUUGCUUUUGAAACUGUCAGACUGGAGUGCCGGAGAGGUAAGCGGAAUUCCUAGUGUAGCGGUGAAAUGCGUAGAUAUUAGGAGGAACACCAGUGGCGAAGGCGGCUUACUGGACGGUAACUGACAUUGAGGCUCGAAAGCGUGGGGAGCAAACAGGAUUAGAUACCCUGGUA
RNAcentral lists this ribosomal RNA (434 nucleotides) under uncultured Anaerosporobacter sp. RNAcentral describes it as "partial 16S ribosomal RNA". It matches the Rfam family "Bacterial small subunit ribosomal RNA", at positions 341 to 792 of the family's 1533-position model. The record is from RNAcentral. Lineage: Bacteria; Bacillati; Bacillota; Clostridia; Lachnospirales; Lachnospiraceae.